RNAcentral lists this ribosomal RNA (828 nucleotides) under Nocardia farcinica. RNAcentral's name for it is "bacterial SSU rRNA". It matches the Rfam family "Bacterial small subunit ribosomal RNA", at positions 51 to 895 of the family's 1533-position model. The record is from RNAcentral. Lineage: Bacteria; Bacillati; Actinomycetota; Actinomycetes; Mycobacteriales; Nocardiaceae.
ACACAUGCAGUCGAGCGGUAAGGCCCUUCGGGGUACACGAGCGGCGAACGGGUGAGUAACACGUGGGUGAUCUGCCCUGUACUUCGGGAUAAGCCUGGGAAACUGGGUCUAAUACCGGAUAUGACCUUACAUCGCAUGGUGUUUGGUGGAAAGAUUUAUCGGUACAGGAUGGGCCCGCGGCCUAUCAGCUUGUUGGUGGGGUAAUGGCCUACCAAGGCGACGACGGGUAGCCGGCCUGAGAGGGCGACCGGCCACACUGGGACUGAGACACGGCCCAGACUCCUACGGGAGGCAGCAGUGGGGAAUAUUGCACAAUGGGCGAAAGCCUGAUGCAGCGACGCCGCGUGAGGGAUGACGGCCUUCGGGUUGUAAACCUCUUUCGACAGGGACGAAGCGCAAGUGACGGUACCUGUAGAAGAAGCACCGGCCAACUACGUGCCAGCAGCCGCGGUAAUACGUAGGGUGCGAGCGUUGUCCGGAAUUACUGGGCGUAAAGAGCUUGUAGGCGGUUUGUCGCGUCGUCCGUGAAAACUUGGGGCUCAACCCCAAGCUUGCGGGCGAUACGGGCAGACUUGAGUACUGCAGGGGAGACUGGAAUUCCUGGUGUAGCGGUGAAAUGCGCAGAUAUCAGGAGGAACACCGGUGGCGAAGGCGGGUCUCUGGGCAGUAACUGACGCUGAGAAGCGAAAGCGUGGGUAGCGAACAGGAUUAGAUACCCUGGUAGUCCACGCCGUAAACGGUGGGCGCUAGGUGUGGGUUUCCUUCCACGGGAUCCGUGCCGUAGCUAACGCAUUAAGCGCCCCGCCUGGGGAGUACGGCCGCAAGGCU